GAGGGAAUAGCUCAGUGGUAGAGUGUGUGCUUAGCAUGCACAAGUCCUGGGUUCAAUUCCCCAGUACCUCCG
RNAcentral lists this transfer RNA (72 nucleotides) under Camelus bactrianus (Bactrian camel). It matches the Rfam family "tRNA". Rfam says of the family: Transfer RNA (tRNA) molecules are approximately 80 nucleotides in length. Their secondary structure includes four short double-helical elements and three loops (D, anti-codon, and T loops). The record is from Rfam by way of RNAcentral. Lineage: Eukaryota; Metazoa; Chordata; Mammalia; Artiodactyla; Camelidae. RNAcentral also lists the same sequence under 2 other names.